This is a non-coding RNA of Danionella cerebrum, 74 nucleotides long. NCBI's taxonomy places the organism in Eukaryota, Metazoa, Chordata, Actinopteri, Cypriniformes, Danionidae. The record is from the annotation of a GenBank genome assembly.
GCUUACUGUGUUUUAGUCAGUAGAGCAUUGUGCUAGUACCGCAAAGUUUGUGGGUUCAAACCCCAGGGGAAGCA